RNAcentral lists this ribosomal RNA (732 nucleotides) under Condylostentor auriculatus. RNAcentral's name for it is "LSU rRNA". It matches the Rfam family "Eukaryotic large subunit ribosomal RNA", at positions 48 to 909 of the family's 3401-position model. Lineage: Eukaryota; Ciliophora; Heterotrichea; Heterotrichida; Stentoridae. The record is from RNAcentral.
UAGCGGAGGAAAAGAAACUAACUAGGAUUGCCUCAGUAACAGCGAGUGAAGCGGCAACAGCCCACACUGAAAAUCGCUUCGGCGAAUUGUACAGUGAAGACGUCAACCUUACUGUAGCGUGCUCAUGUAACUCGGUUGGAACACCGGACCAAAGAGGGUGCAAGUCCCGUGCCGUGAGCGUGUAGCAGAUAGGUGUCGUUCUAAGAGUCGGGUAGUUUGGGAUUGCUGCCCUAAAUGGGAGGGAGACUCCUUCUAAGGCUAAAUAAUGACGAGAGACCGAUAGCAAACAAGUACUGUGAAGGAAAGAUGAAAAGAACUUUGGAAAGAGAGUUAAAAGUUUUGAAAUCGCUGAGGAGGAAGCAGUGUGCCUGGUACAGCAUCUUACAAAACUGUCGUAAGCGGCAGGGGGAGUAGGUUGCAGAGUCAUUAUCUUGGGAGGUUGCUAGUAGUGUAUACUGUGAGUAGCACGUUUUAGUAGCUGAUCGAAUGAUGGCGCUAGGUGCACUGGCCCGUCUUGAAACACGGACCAAGGAGUCCAGCCUAUGUGCGAGUAGAGGGGCUGAACCCCACAUGCGUAACGAAAGUGAGCUCUGGCGCAGCAGAGGCCGCAAUAGCGAGCUCAGCAGAUAGGCUGGGACCCGAAAGAUGGUGAACUAUGCUUGGGGAAGGUGAAGCCAGGGGAAACUCUGGUGGAGGCUUGUAGAGGUACUGACGUGCAAUUCGCUCGUAAAA